CUCUGAUGUUCCCUAGCUAUUGUGUUUAUUAUUCCCAUUGAGGGUCGGUUCUCCAAAGGUUCUUCUUGUUGAGAUAGCUUGGGCUGUCAAUGCUCCCUCGACCGCUCUCAUGCCUCUCCUGGCGGUGGCAAACAAAUCGAUCCAGCUACCAUGCGGAAUCAACUCCUCGAUCUCAUCUUGGAGUUGGAUGCAUUCCUCUAUAUCG
This 205-nucleotide long non-coding RNA is filed under the name Elaeis guineensis (African oil palm). Its description in RNAcentral is "long non-coding RNA (EGUI_LNC075539)". The record is from RNAcentral. Lineage: Eukaryota; Viridiplantae; Streptophyta; Magnoliopsida; Arecales; Arecaceae.